This 322-nucleotide ribosomal RNA is filed under the name uncultured bacterium. RNAcentral describes it as "bacterial SSU rRNA". It matches the Rfam family "Bacterial small subunit ribosomal RNA", at positions 29 to 352 of the family's 1533-position model. The record is from RNAcentral.
AUUGAACGCUGGCGGCAUGCCUUACACAUGCAAGUCGAACGGCAGCACGGGGGCAACCCUGGUGGCGAGUGGCGAACGGGUGAGUAAUACAUCGGAACGUGCCCAGUAGUGGGGAGUAGCCCGGCGAAAGCCGGAUUAAUACCGCAUACGACCUACGGGUGAAAGCGGGGAGUCGCAAGACCUCGUGCUACCGGAGCGGCCGAUGUCAGAUUAGGUUGUUGGUGGGGUAAAAGCCUACCAAGCCGACGAUCUGUAGCUGGUCUGAGAGGACGACCAGCCACACUGGGACUGAGACACGGCCCAGACUCCUACGGGAGGCAGC